GGUAUUUCAUUUUCAAUGAGCCAUUUCAUUUCAUAUUUUAACAGAAAUGAUCCGAACGUAGCAAUUGUUUUAAAAAAUUUCCAAAAAAAUAUACUAAAUCAAUAAAACAUACUCCAUCUGGAGAUACAAGAGUGAGAGAUACAUCUUUACUCACAUUAGAUCUGUGAGUUCCGUCAAAUGGAAAUACAAUAUCAAUUGGUACAUAUAUUUUUAUUUUUUAAAAUAGAUUAAAUGGUUAAAAUAUAAAUGGUUAUUUUUAUAUAUUAUUCAGACCGACACACUAUAGAAACCCCAUAACCAACUUAAGCCAGGUUUGGACUAUUUGAUUUAGAACCAAAAUCUUCUGUACCAAUUCCCUACCCUAUACCACGAAUGAAAACUUGCCACCUAAUAAAAACUAUUUAACGCCGUUCCGUUAUCUUGUCAAGGCGUCAAAAGACACAAGUGGCGAAAUGGAAAUGCUCUUCUUGUUUACUUUACCAUUUGUUCUAACAGAACCCCUUUUUUAUUUGCUUACAAAAGAGCCUUCAUCACUCACUUUCUUGUACCCAUAUGUCGACACAUCAUAUAAACAAAACAACACUCUAAUUUGGGAUGUGAGAUUGUAAUAAUACACUGUUAAUCCUCUAAUCUGUUGUAAUACUAAAAAUCGUGGGACUGUGCUACCAAGUUGUCAAUUCAUUAUAUUGGAGGUGAAGUUUAUUUGCUCUACCCACGCUAACCCUAAUUCAUCCAGAUGACCCAUUUUAACACAUCAAAUGUGCUAUAAGCAAAACUAGAAGAAAAAGGUAAGAAAAGUAAGAACGAUGAGUAGAAUAAAACCCGGUAAUAUUCAACACAUAAAAGGAUGAAAAUAGUAACUCCCCUACUAUAUAAAUAAAUCAUCACUCGGUGAAACAAUACAAUAAAUAAUUUCUGUAUACAAAAUUAAAUCCAUGGGAAAAUAAAUAAUAUAAUUCUCUUCACUUAGAAACCUAGUGCUUCAAUACGGCAAGCAUAGACAACAAAAGAGAAGCGCCAAUCAUAGCAACAGAGCUAGAAACAGAUCCAGCAGCUCCUGCAUCAGGAGACGGCGCCGGAGAAGAAGCCGGUGAGACAUCACGAGCUGCGGCCGCAAUAGAAAACAGAACAACGACGAGAACAACGGCAAGAGCCUUGAAUGUAGAAACUGGUGCCAUAUCUUCAAUUAAUAAAGAGAAAGAAAAAAAUUAUUCAGAGAGAGAUAGAGAGUCUGAGAAGUUAAGAAAACGAGAGAAGGUUGAAAAGUGUGAGGGUAUGAAAUGAGAGAAAGGAGAAGAGGAUAUUUAUAGCAUGAUGAGGUGGGGAGUGGGGCCCAGAGAAAACGUGGACAGCUGGCAAUGUGGUAAAGAAAAUGUGUUGUUAGGUUUGGGAUUCCGUCGGCGCGUGAAGAGUGUAGAAAAGUGUGUUGUUAAAUAGCUGUAUUUUUUAAGUUUUCGGCCGUUACACA
RNAcentral lists this long non-coding RNA (1468 nucleotides) under Lupinus angustifolius (narrow-leaved blue lupine). Its description in RNAcentral is "long non-coding RNA (LANG_LNC001245)". Lineage: Eukaryota; Viridiplantae; Streptophyta; Magnoliopsida; Fabales; Fabaceae. The record is from RNAcentral.